AGAGUUUGAUCCUGGCUCAGGAUGAACGCUAGCUACAGGCUUAACACAUGCAAGUCGCGGGGCAGCAUGAAUUUAGCUUGCUAAAUUUGAUGGCGACCGGCGCACGGGUGAGUAACGCGUAUCCAACCUUCCCCUGUCCACGGGAUAGCCCGUCGAAAGGCGGAUUAAUACCGUAUGAGGUCACAUGACGGCAUCAGAGUGUGACGAAAGGUUUGGCGGACAGGGAUGGGGAUGCGUCCGAUUAGCUAGUUGGCGGGGUAACGGCCCACCAAGGCGACGAUCGGUAGGGGUUCUGAGAGGAAGGUCCCCCACAUUGGAACUGAGACACGGUUCCAAACUCCUACGGGAGGCAGCAGUGAGGAAUAUUGGUCAAUGGGCGAGAGCCUGAACCAGCCAAGUAGCGUGCAGGACGACGGCCCUAUGGGUUGUAAACUGCUUUUAUGCGGGGAUAACGUGCGCCACGUGUGGUGUAUUGCAGGUACCGCAUGAAUAAGGACCGGCUAAUUCCGUGCCAGCAGCCGCGGUAAUACGGAAGGUCCGGGCGUUAUCCGGAUUUAUUGGGUUUAAAGGGAGCGUAGGCCGCUGUUUAAGCGUGUUGUGAAAAACCGGGGCUCAACUCCGGUCGUGCAGCGCGAACUGGACGGCUUGAGUGCGCGGUAAGUGGGCGGAAUUUGUGGUGUAGCGGUGAAAUGCUUAGAUAUCACGAAGAACUCCGAUUGCGAAGGCAGCUCACUGUAGCGCAACUGGCGCUGAAGCUCGAAAGUGCGGGUAUCGAACAGGAUUAGAUACCCUGGUAGUCCGCACGGUAAACGAUGGAUGCCCGCUGUUCCGGCAAUAGCUGGAGUGGCCAAGCGA
This 855-nucleotide ribosomal RNA is filed under the name uncultured bacterium. RNAcentral describes it as "bacterial SSU rRNA". It matches the Rfam family "Bacterial small subunit ribosomal RNA", at positions 8 to 854 of the family's 1533-position model. The record is from RNAcentral.